CCAAUAGCGUAUAUUAAAGUUGUUGCAGUUAAAAAGCUCGUAGUUGAAUUUCGGGGUUCAUCCGUUGGUCGGGCUUUUGGGUCUGUACUGGCGUGAUGGAUUCCUACCUUCUGAAUAACCAGCAUGUCAUUAAUUUGGUGCGCUGGGGAAGCAGGACUGUUACCUUGAAAAAAUUAGAGUGCUUAAAGCAGGCUAUUGCCUGAAUACAUUAGCAUGGAAUAAUGAAAUAGGACGCAUGGUUCUAUUUUGUUGGUUUCUAGGAUCACCGUAAUGAGUAAUAGGGAUAAUUGGGGGCAUUAGUAUUCAAUUGUCAGAGGUGAAAUUCUUGGAUUUAUUGAAGACUAACUUCUGCGAAAGCAUUUGCCAAGGAUGUUUUCAUUAAUCAAGAACGAAAGUUAGGGGAUCGAAGACGAUCAGAUACCGUCGUAGUCUUAACCAUAAACUAUGCCGACUAGGGAUCGGACGAUGUUAAUUUUUUAAUGACUCGUUCGGCGCCUUACG
This 501-nucleotide ribosomal RNA is filed under the name uncultured Glomeromycotina. Its description in RNAcentral is "partial small subunit ribosomal RNA". It matches the Rfam family "Eukaryotic small subunit ribosomal RNA", at positions 591 to 1092 of the family's 1831-position model. Lineage: Eukaryota; Fungi; Glomeromycota. The record is from RNAcentral.